ACGGGGUGCAGCAGGCGCGAAACCUCCGCAAUGUACGCAAGUGCGACGGGGGGAUCCCAAGUGUUAUUCUUAACAGAAUAACUUUUCAUUAGUGUAAAAAGCUUUUAGAAUAAGAGCUGGGCAAGACCGGUGCCAGCCGCCGCGGUAACACCGGCAGCUCAAGUGGUAGCUGUUUUUAUUGGGCCUAAAGCGUUCGUAGCCGGUUUGAUAAGUCUUUGGUGAAAGCUUGUAGCUUAACUAUAAGAAUUGCUGAAGAUACUGUCAGACUUGAAGUCGGGAGAGGUUAGAGGUACUACCGGGG
This 301-nucleotide ribosomal RNA is filed under the name uncultured archaeon. RNAcentral describes it as "bacterial SSU rRNA". It matches the Rfam family "Archaeal small subunit ribosomal RNA", at positions 325 to 626 of the family's 1478-position model. The record is from RNAcentral.